This 497-nucleotide ribosomal RNA is filed under the name uncultured bacterium. Its description in RNAcentral is "partial 16S ribosomal RNA". It matches the Rfam family "Bacterial small subunit ribosomal RNA", at positions 28 to 507 of the family's 1533-position model. The record is from RNAcentral.
GAUGAACGCUGGCGGCGUGCCUAAUACAUGCAAGUCGAGCGAACAGACGAGGAGCUUGCUCCUCUGACGUUAGCGGCGGACGGGUGAGUAACACGUGGAUAACCUACCUAUAUGACUGGGAUAACUUCGGGAAACCGGAGCUAAUACCGGAUAAUAUAUUGAACCGCAUGGUUCAAUAGUGAAAGACGGUUUUGCUGUAACUUAUAGAUGGAUCCGUGCCGCAUUAGCUAGUUGGUAAGGUAACGGCUUACCAAGGCAACGAUGCGUAGCCGACCUGAGAGGAUGAUCGGCCACACUGGAACUGAGACACGGUCCAGACUCCUACGGGAGGCAGCAGUAGGGAAUCUUCCGCAAUGGGCGAAAGCUUGACGGAGCAACGCCGCGUGAGUGAAGAAGGUCUUCGGAUCGUAAAACUCUGUUAUUAGGGAAGAAAAAAUGUGUAAGUAACUAUGCACGUCUUGACGGUACCUGAUCAGAAAGCAACGGCUAACUACGUG